UUUUCUCGUGUCUUUUGAUCCUAUGGAACUUAUAUUGCUGCUGACUCUAGUGGAUUAUAUAUCUUUGGGGAAAAAAGAAACGCAUUAUUUUCUUCUUCUUACAUGUAAAACCGUUAAUACCCGAACCAGACAUAAAACAGAGGAAGGAUAAUUUGGAGAAAACAAAAAAAUGAAACCCUAAAUUGUAGUGGCGCUCAACUUACCCUCCAAAAUUCCAAAACCAUUAAAUUCGUUUAUUGCCCCUGAAAAUUUUCAAUAUUAUCAAAUAUCCCCGCCAGUACAGGAAUAGAGGGAACCUAUUGGCAAUUGUUAAAAAGUCAAAAAAAGCUUAGACAUUUUUCCGUAUAUCCCUCUAUAUUGUCUUUGAAGUUCAUAAACUGUGUUUGUUUUCUAUUGGGAAACACUUCCAAAAAGCAGUUGCAGCAGUUAUGGCUGUUAUUUCUUCAGUUCCUGAUUUGAAUAUCGAAGUUGUUGUUCGGGAGGAGAAGAAGGGUCGUUCUAAUUGCCCUGGAGUUCGCGUCAUUGGAGGCAGAAUAUAUGAUUCUGAAAAUGGGAAGAACUGUCACCAAUGCCGGCAAAAAACAAGAGAUUUUGCAGCUGGGUGCAGGAAUCAGAAAGGAAACAAGCAAUGUCCCAUGAAUUACUGCCAUAAAUGCCUGUUGAACAGGUAUGGGGAGAAAGCUGAAGAGGUAGCUCUGCUUGAUGAGUGGAAAUGUCCAAAGUGUAGGGGCAUUUGCAAUUGCAGUUGGUGUAUGAAGAAAAGAGGUCAUAAACCUACUGGUGUACUUGUGCACAUGGCUAAGGAAAAUGGGUUUUCUUCUGUCUCAGAACUUCUUCUGGUUAAAGGUGCUGAGAAUUUUGGUAUAGAUAGAGUUGCAAAAGAUACAAAUGUUUCAUUGAAGACGCCUGCUUCCACAAAGGAGUCUACAAUUGCUUCACUGAGGAAACCAGGGAAGGAAAACUCUUUUGAUGGAAACAAUGAUCUGAGUGAGCACCCUCAGAAUUUAACUCUAGUCUCUAACAACAAGAAAUCUAAGAAAAGGAGAAGGGAAAGAUUACUGGAGGCUAAUAGCAUCAGGGAUGGCUAUGAUGCUACUUUGGGGGAGAGUGACCAGAAGAAGCCUAGACUUACUGAGGAAGUUCAUAAAAGAAAGGUGAAGAUAAAUGAAGAGGAUGAAAGUGUUGUGGUAGAGAAAGGCAAGUCUAAGACACAGAAUGAGGACAUUCCUAAGAAAGAAGUAAAGAAAAAAGGAAAGGAUGAAGGUAUUAUUGUGGAAGAAAAGAAGUCCAAGGCACAAUCUCAAGAUGUUUCUAAGAAAGAAGUAACUGCAAAUAAAAAGGCUGUUGGCAUGAAAAAGAAGUUUAAGACACAAAUGCCAAAGGAUAUUGCUGCUUGUUCUACUGGAAAGGAAGAUUUGGAUGCUGCAAAUUUAAAGAAUGGAGCUGUUUUGAGUGGCAUUAAAAAUGAUAGUCUUGAAACCAAGAACAUGACAGCUGUAGAGUCGUGCAAAAUUAGCAACUGUACCGCAAAGCACUGCAGCAAGCAAAUCGAUGAAAACAUUCCAUUGCCUCCAGCCACCUGCUUAACUAUUGUGGCAGGAAUUGAGUUACCUAAUGAAGAUGCUGGGGAUGCAUUGCAAUUCUUCGAGUUUUGUGCUGCUUUUAGUAAGGUUCUUGAUGUCAAGAAAGGGCAAGCUGAAGCUGUAAUUAGAGAAAUAAUAUUUGGCCGAAGAACUCGCCGGUCACAAUGCUCAUUACUAGUGCAGUUUCACAUUAAAAUAUUAUCCUUGAUACAAGAGGAUAUAGGAGAAGUAUUUGCAGCCCUAAGUCCAACAAAUGGCCGAAAUUCAUGGUUGAAGGCUCUUGGGAAAUGUGUCUCUAAGUGCAAAUUUAUAUCAAUGGGGAUCCCCUCUGAUUGCUUUGAUACUGAUGAAGGAUAUGAUAUGUUGAGUACCACACAAAAGUUUAAACUCUUGAAUUUCCUAUGUGAUGAAGCUCUUAAUACAAAAGAUUUGAGGAAAUGGAUUGAUGAUCAAAAUUCUAAAUUUUUUGAAAGAGAGAAGGAAGCAAAAGAAAAGGUUCUAGCAGCAAAAGAUAAGGAGAAACAUUUGAAACAGAAGGUGCAGGAUGAGGUGGCUAAAGCCAUCAUCGCAAAAAAUGGUGCUUCCUUCUCUGUUUCUGAGCAUGAAGCUUUAGUGUCACAAAUAAAAAAAGAAGCUGCUCAAGCUCAUGCAGAAAUGAUGGAGGCCAUUGGGAUGGUAUCCAAAAAGAGACAAAGAUCUGAUGCUGUUAGAACAGACCCGACCCUUGUGGAUGUCAAUGGUCGUGCCUUUUGGAGACUAAAAGGUUAUAUUAAUCAACCGGAUAUCUUGUUUCAAGAUUUGGGGAGCCGGACUUCAUUUGCCCUUGAGGAGAAAUGGUUUGUCUAUGAUGUUGAGCAGGAACAAGGAAUCGAGAAAUACAUAUCCUCUUUAAGGCAUAAUACCUUGUGGGAUGCACACCUAGCUAUUGAAAUGUCCAGCUUAUGAUAACAUUUGUGAACUAGAGCGAACCAAGUAAUGAAAUGGAGAGGACAAAAAGGCUUAAGAUUCAAAAAGUUACCGAAACCCCUUUCUUUGGAGGCGUUGAAACAAACUCAAAGGAUGCUUUUACAGACCACUCGCCAUCUUGAUGUUGCAUAAUUUGAGAUAAAGAGGAGAAAAUUAUGAGAUUUGUCUGCCACAAUUUUUUGACAGUGGCGUCAUGCAAAUUCAUCAGAUACUGAACUUGCAAUAUUGAGUAAUUGACAAAAGUUAUAUAUGCUUCAACACCUUUUCUGGGGCAGCUAAUUGUUCUUUGUUGCCUUAUGCGACCCUUCUUGUAAAGUUCAUUAUUUGCUACCUUUAUGAAAAUAGCAAAUUAGAAUGUGAAAUGAAAUAGAUGUUCAGAAUAGGCAAGACAGUGAAGUAUGCUCUUUCAAUCUCUGUAAUUCAUUCUGUCCUGAAUCUUGUCUCUUCGUUUAAUUCAUUUGUAUAGUUUUUGCUAAUUAA
RNA transcript from Manihot esculenta (cassava), 3029 nucleotides. RefSeq lists it as uncharacterized. The transcript has 14 exons. The record is from RefSeq and is a predicted model, not a curated record. NCBI's taxonomy places the organism in Eukaryota, Viridiplantae, Streptophyta, Magnoliopsida, Malpighiales, Euphorbiaceae.